UGCCGGAUCGACUAAUGGCAGGUCGUAGUGCUCUGAACACUAAGAUGUGUGUUCGAAUCCUACUCUGGCAA
Molecule: transfer RNA, 71 nt
Filed under: Alkalinema sp. RU_4_3
Lineage: Bacteria; Bacillati; Cyanobacteriota; Cyanophyceae; Leptolyngbyales; Leptolyngbyaceae
Description: tRNA-Gln
Rfam family: tRNA
About the family: Transfer RNA (tRNA) molecules are approximately 80 nucleotides in length. Their secondary structure includes four short double-helical elements and three loops (D, anti-codon, and T loops).
Source: RNAcentral